This 450-nucleotide ribosomal RNA is filed under the name uncultured bacterium. RNAcentral describes it as "bacterial SSU rRNA". It matches the Rfam family "Bacterial small subunit ribosomal RNA", at positions 354 to 796 of the family's 1533-position model. The record is from RNAcentral.
GUGGGGAAUAUUGGAUAAUGGGCGAAAGCCUGAUCCAGCCAUGCCGCGUGUGUGAAGAAGGUCUUCGGAUUGUAAAGCACUUUAAGUUGGGAGGAAGGGCAGUAAGUUAAUACCUUGCUGUUUUGACGUUACCGACAGAAUAAGCACCGGCUAACUUCGUGCCAGCAGCCGCGGUAAUACGAAGGGUGCAAGCGUUAAUCGGAAUUACUGGGCGUAAAGCGCGCGUAGGUGGUUUUGUAAGUUGGAGGUGAAAUCCCCGGGCUCAACCUGGGAACUGCCUCCAAAACUGCAUGACUAGAGUACGGUAGAGGGUAGUGGAAUUUCCUGUGUAGCGGUGAAAUGCGUAGAUAUAGGAAGGAACACCAGUGGCGAAGGCGACUACCUGGACUGAUACUGACACUGAGGUGCGAAAGCGUGGGGAGCAAACAGGAUUAGAUACCCCGGUAGUCC